UUAGGCAUGCAAGUCGAGCGAGAAGGGUUUGGUGCUUGCAUUGAACCUGGAAAGCGGCGAAACGGGAGAGUAACGCGUAGGACACCUACCCCCAGGUUCGGGAUAGCGGCGGGAAACUGCCGGUAAUACCGAAUAAUGUCUCCGGACCAAAGGUGAGAUUCCGUCUGGGGAUGGUCCUGCGUCCUAUUAGCUUGUUGGUGGGGUAAUGGCCUACCAAGGCAAAGAUGGGUAGCGGGCGUGAGAGCGUGGCCCGUCUCACUGGGACUGAGACACUGCCCAGACACCUACGGGUGGCUGCAGUCGAGAAUCUUCCGCAAUGGACGCAAGUCUGACGGAGCGACGCCGCGUGCGGGAUGAAGGCCUUCGGGUUGUAAACCGCUGUCAGUGGGGUGGAAAUCUUAUGGGGCAAUCUCCAUAAGUUGACCUAACCGCAGAGGAAGUCCGGGCUAAGUACGUG
RNAcentral lists this ribosomal RNA (457 nucleotides) under uncultured bacterium. Its description in RNAcentral is "bacterial SSU rRNA". It matches the Rfam family "Bacterial small subunit ribosomal RNA", at positions 49 to 507 of the family's 1533-position model. The record is from RNAcentral.